GUGAGUCAGUGGCGUACGGCCGAGUGACACGUUACUACCUACCCUCGAGUGGGGGAUAACCCCGGGAAACCGGGGCUAAUACCGCAUAACAUCGCAAGAUCAAAGGAGCAAUUCGCUUGAGGAGGGGGUCGCGGCCGAUUAGCUAGUUGGUGAGGUAACGGCCCACCAAGGCGAUGAUCGGUAGCCGGCCUGAGAGGGCGCACGGCCACACUGGAACUGAAACACGGUCCAGACUCCUACGGGAGGCAGCAGUGGGGAAUUUUGCGCAAUGGGGGAAACCCUGACGCAGCAACGCCGCGUGGAGGAUGAAGUCCCUUGGGACGUAAACUCCUUUCGACCCGGACGAUAAUGACGGUACGGGUGGAAGAAGCACCGGCUAUCUUCGUGCCUGCAGCCGCGGUAAU
Molecule: ribosomal RNA, 404 nt
Filed under: uncultured bacterium
Lineage: Bacteria
Description: bacterial SSU rRNA
Rfam family: Bacterial small subunit ribosomal RNA
Source: RNAcentral